AUAAUUUGAUGUCAUGUGUAUGAUUGAGUAUAAGAAUUAGAACCACAACCG
This 51-nucleotide small RNA is filed under the name Arabidopsis thaliana (thale cress). RNAcentral describes it as "ATSL198600". Lineage: Eukaryota; Viridiplantae; Streptophyta; Magnoliopsida; Brassicales; Brassicaceae. The record is from RNAcentral.